CUGAGUAGCGACGAGCGAACGGGGACUAGCCCUUAAGCUGGAAUGGUUCUAGAAAAACAGCCUGGAACGGCUGGCCAUAGAAGGUGAUAGCCCUGUAUUUAAAAGGGCCACUCCAGUGAAGACGAGUAGGGCGGGGCACGUGAAACCCUGUCUGAACAUGGG
Molecule: non-coding RNA, 162 nt
Organism: Spinacia oleracea (spinach)
Lineage: Eukaryota; Viridiplantae; Streptophyta; Magnoliopsida; Caryophyllales; Amaranthaceae
Source: Rfam